UAGGGAAUAUUGCACAAUGGGCGAAAGCCUGAUGCAGCGACGCCGCGUGAGUGAUGAAGGCCUUCGGGUUGUAAAGCUCUGUGAUAAGGGAAGAUGAUGACGGUACCUUAUCAGAAAGGACCGGCUAACUUCGUGCCAGCAGCCGCGGUAAUACGAGGGGUCCAAGCGUUGUUCGGAAUCACUGGGCGUAAAGCGGGUGUAGGUGGCUCUGCAAGUCACAUGUGAAAGCCCCGGGCUCAACCCGGGAAGUGCAUGUGAUACUACAGAGCUUGAGUAAGGGAGAGGAUGGCAGAAUUCCAGGUGUAGUGGUGAAAUACGUAGAUAUCUGGAGGAACUCCGGUGGCGAAGGCGGCCAUCUGGCCCAUUACUGACACUCAGACCCGAAAGCGUGGGUAGCAAACAGG
Molecule: ribosomal RNA, 404 nt
Filed under: uncultured bacterium
Lineage: Bacteria
Description: bacterial SSU rRNA
Rfam family: Bacterial small subunit ribosomal RNA
Source: RNAcentral